CCAACAACAUUCGAAAUAAAAUGGCGAAGUACAUCUCCCUUGCACUUUUGGUCGUGACCUUCUAUGUUUCUUCAGUGUCUUCCGCUGAUAUUGUUACUUGCUUAACCAAAGAAGUUAAUAAUUUUGUGGGAAAAACUGUCCCCAAUACAAUUGCCAACUUCCACACCCCCAAGGUGUGCAAGAAAUCCAGUAUUGAAUCAAUUGCCGCAUCUUUCGACAAGUUGGCAAAAGCUGAAUUGUUAAAAUGUGGCACCAACUGGUUAUGCCUGGCAGAAGUUCUCUUCAAGUAUCAAUAUAACCUGGUGGUCAACGCAGCCGAGUGCGAGAAGGAAUAUAUUAUUAAUGGUCCCAUCGCCACUUUGCUGAAGGCAUUCUACAAAAACAUUGAAAAGUGCAUGUCAGGCACCACUGUGCCUACUCUGCCAUUGAUCUUGCCAAAGGUGUAAGAUAUUUUGCAAAUUUAGAGCAAGAAGUAAUUAUGUUAACUGUUGUAACAUAAUAAAUGCAUUAUAAAAA
Molecule: long non-coding RNA, 516 nt
Organism: Dalotia coriaria
Lineage: Eukaryota; Metazoa; Arthropoda; Insecta; Coleoptera; Staphylinidae
Exons: 2
Source: RefSeq, a predicted model, not a curated record